UACGUAGGGUGCAAGCGUUAAUCGGAAUUACGUGGCGUAAAGCGUGCGCAGGCGGUUUUGUAAGUCUGUCGUGAAAGCCCCGGGCUUAACCUGGGAAUUGCGAUGGAGACUGCAAGGCUUGAAUCUGGCAGAGGGGGGUAGAAUUCCACGUGUAGCAGUGAAAUGCGUUAGAGAUGUGGAGGAACACCGAUGGCGAAGGCAGCCCCUGGGUCAAGAUUGACGCUCAUGCACGAAAGCGUGGGGAGCAAACAGG
Molecule: ribosomal RNA, 253 nt
Filed under: uncultured bacterium
Lineage: Bacteria
Description: partial 16S ribosomal RNA
Rfam family: Bacterial small subunit ribosomal RNA
Source: RNAcentral